This 370-nucleotide ribosomal RNA is filed under the name uncultured organism. RNAcentral describes it as "partial 16S ribosomal RNA". It matches the Rfam family "Bacterial small subunit ribosomal RNA", at positions 527 to 896 of the family's 1533-position model. The record is from RNAcentral.
GGAGGGUGCAAGCGUUAUCCGGAAUUAUUGGGUUUAAAGGGUGCGUAGGCGGGAUGAUAAGUCAGUGGUGAAAUCUUACAGCUUAACUGUAAAACUGCCAUUGAUACUAUCAUUCUUGAAUACAAUUGAAGUGGGCGGAAUGUGUCAUGUAGCGGUGAAAUGCUUAGAUAUGACACAGAACACCGAUUGCGAAGGCAGCUCACUAAGUUGUUAUUGACGCUGAGGCACGAAAGCGUGGGGAGCGAACAGGAUUAGAUACCCUGGUAGUCCCACGCCCGUAAACGAUGAUCACUCGGUAUUGGCGAUACACUGUCAGUGCCCCAAGCGAAAGUUUUAAGUGAUCCACCUGGGAAGUACGUCGGCAACGAUG